Non-coding RNA from Schistosoma mansoni, 46 nucleotides. Lineage: Eukaryota; Metazoa; Platyhelminthes; Trematoda; Strigeidida; Schistosomatidae. The record is from Rfam.
CUACCAUUGAGGAGUCCCACAAUAGGACGAAACGGCCGUCCAGUGC